AUUGAACGCUGGCGGCAUGCUUUACACAUGCAAGUCGAACGAGUGGCGAACGGGUGAGUAAUAUAUAGGAACGUACCGAGUAAUGGGGGAUAACCAGUCGAAAGAUUGGCUAAUACCGCAUAUUAUUCGAGCGGCGGAUAACUGAGUAGCUAGUUGGUGGGGUAAAGGCCUACCAAGGCGACGAGCAUUAGCGGGUCUGGGAGGACGAUCCGCCACACUGGGACUGAGACACGGCCCAGACUCCUACGGGAGGCAGCAGUGGGGAAUGUUGGACAAUGGGGGCAAGCCUGAUCCAGCCACGCCGCGUGUAUGAAGAAGGUCUUCGGAUUGUAAAGUACUUUUGUUAGGGAAGCGGUACCUAAAGAAUAAGCACCGGCUAACUACGUUCCAGCAGCCGCGGUAAUAC
RNAcentral lists this ribosomal RNA (406 nucleotides) under uncultured bacterium. RNAcentral describes it as "partial 16S ribosomal RNA". It matches the Rfam family "Bacterial small subunit ribosomal RNA", at positions 30 to 526 of the family's 1533-position model. The record is from RNAcentral.